AAACCAGGAUUAGAUACCCUAUUAUACUUUAAUUUCUUUGGUAGUAUUACUAUUUUUAAUAAACCAAUGUAGUUUGGCGGCAUUCAAUCACUUUAGAGGAACCUGUCUAUUAAUCGACUCUCCACGAUAUCUUUCACUUUUAUUUAUAUUUUAUAUACCACCAUCUUUUAGGAUUAAUAUAAAUAUUCUUUCCUUAAUAGAAACUUCUCAUAAGUUAGGUAAAGGUGUAGACUAUAUAAAAGAUAAGAUGGGUUACAUUAAGAAAUACUAAAGGAUAAUCAUUCAAAUAUUUUUGGAAAAAGGAUUUAUUAGUAAUAUUAAAAGAUUAAUUAUAAAUGAAAUUGACAAAUAUGUGCACAUAUCGCCCGUCACUCUCACA
Molecule: ribosomal RNA, 379 nt
Filed under: Gibbaranea occidentalis
Lineage: Eukaryota; Metazoa; Arthropoda; Arachnida; Araneae; Araneidae
Description: partial 12S ribosomal RNA
Source: RNAcentral